UAUUAUGUUAGUGAACACCUGACUGAUAGAAAGGACUUGAGGAAAGAGAGCUCCUAUGAGGAUUUUUAUUUCUAUCACUAUCAUCAUCACUAUCACCCCCUUCCGCAUGAAGGACAGUGUUCUAACUGCCAGUCCCAGUUAUUCCCAGCUGAAUCUACAAAUUUAAAUUCUCGAUUUUCUAAUUUUCCAGUUCUCAUCAGAAUAUGCCACCCACAUCUGUAUGUCCUGGGCCUGUGUGGGACAUGGAAAGGCAGGAGCGUAUGAGUUUCUGAAGUCAGAAAGAACUGGGUUGAGUCCCAUAAACUUGGAAAAUAGGGGUCUAUUAAAAGAGAGAGCAAGAGCGAGUGAUGAGAGUACUGAUGUCUGAAGAAAAGAAUAGAAAAAUAGAAGGAGGAUAUGCAUAAAAGAAGAGAACUGAGUCCAUCAAAACUGGACCCAGAGAAAAGUCAAUGCAAGUGAAGUCUGGGGAGGGAAAUUGGAGGAACGAGAGCCUGAUAUGAUAGUGCUUUUGCUCACCGGACUGCUAACGACCUCUCUGUGGAUGUAGGAGGCAGACCCAGAGGCAAAGGAGAACCAAAGAUUAUUUUGUCACAGUCAACUCUCUCAAGUCUAGUUAGAAGAUGUACUGGAUUUGGAGUUCCAGUUCUUGCAUAUGGAUUCCAACAUGACCCAGUUCUUUCCAGGGCUUGCCUGCCAAGGCUGGGAAGGGUGGAGUGAGGAAGAAGACUUGAAGACAUACUUUGGAGAGAGACAGAGAGACACAGAAACUCAACAAAAUUUCAAGUAGAGCAGCUCCUUCUACCUCUUAAGAAUCAAGAUUGCUUCCAUAUAUGUUGUUAUCUUACUUGCUCUACAGCAUUUGGGACAUUUCCAGCUGAAAGAGACCCAAAGAUCCAUCCACCAGGUGUGCAGGGGAACAAACAUGACAGCCAGAGACACUGUGACUUGCUUAGACAAUAUCACAGCCAAAAUCUUCUGACUAGAGCAACACAGAGACCACAUUAAGUCUUUCUGUGAAAAUAAACG
This is a long non-coding RNA of Canis lupus familiaris (dog), 1026 nucleotides long. RefSeq lists it as uncharacterized. NCBI's taxonomy places the organism in Eukaryota, Metazoa, Chordata, Mammalia, Carnivora, Canidae. The transcript is spliced from 6 exons. The record is from RefSeq and is a predicted model, not a curated record.